RNAcentral lists this ribosomal RNA (948 nucleotides) under uncultured Rhodoferax sp. RNAcentral's name for it is "bacterial SSU rRNA". It matches the Rfam family "Bacterial small subunit ribosomal RNA", at positions 337 to 1290 of the family's 1533-position model. The record is from RNAcentral. Lineage: Bacteria; Pseudomonadati; Pseudomonadota; Betaproteobacteria; Burkholderiales; Comamonadaceae.
UCCUAGUGGAGGUAGCAGUGGGGAAUUCUGGAGAAUGGGCGCAAGCCUGAUCCAGGAAUGCCCCGUGGAGGAUGAAGGCCUUCGGGUUGUAAACUGCUUUUGUACGGAACGAAACGGUUCUUUCUAAUAAAGAGGGCUAAUGACGGUACCGUAAGAAUAAGCACCGGCUAACUACGUGCCAGCAGCCGCGGUAAUACGUAGGGUGCGAGCGUUAAUCGGAAUUACUGGGCGUAAAGCGUGCCGGAGGCGGUAGAUGUAAGACCAGAUGUGAAAUCCCCGGGCUCAACCUGGGACCUGCAUUUGUGACUGCAUCGCUAGAGUACGGUAGAGGGGGAUGGUAUUCCGCGUGUGGCAGUGAAAUGCGUAGAUAUGCGGAGGAACACCGAUGGCGAAGGCAUCCCCCUGGACCUGUACUGACCCUCAUGCACGAAAGCGUGGGGAGCAAACAGGAUUAGAUACCCUGGUAGUCCACGCCCUAAACGAUGUCAACUGGUUUUGGGUCUUUGCUGACUCAGUAACGAAGCUAACGGCUGAAUUACCGCCCUGGGGAGUACGGCCGCAAGGUAAAACUCAAAGAAUGGAGGGACCCCAAGCGGGGAGGAGGGUUUAAUUGAUGCAACCGAAAAACCUACCACCUUUGACAUGUACGGAAUCCUUUAGAGAUAGAGGAGGGCUCGAAAGAGAGCCGGUAACACAGGUGCGGCAUGGGCGGUCGUCAGCUCGUGUCGUGAGAUGUUGGGUUAAGUCCCGCAAACGAGCGCAACCCUUGUCAUUAGUUGCUACAUUCAGUUGGGGCAACUCUAAUGAGGACUGCCGGUGACAAGCCGGAGAAGGUGGGGAGACGUCAAGUCUUCAUGGCCCUAUAGUGGGGCUACACACGUCAUACAAUGGCUGGUACAAAGGGUUGCCAACCCGCGAGGGGGAGCUAAUCCCACAAAGCCAGUCGUA